RNAcentral lists this long non-coding RNA (2926 nucleotides) under Pan troglodytes (chimpanzee). RNAcentral describes it as "long non-coding RNA NONPTRT000050". The record is from RNAcentral. Lineage: Eukaryota; Metazoa; Chordata; Mammalia; Primates; Hominidae.
UGAGGGGGCCUGUGGCCCCAGCGUGCUGUGGCCUCCGGGAGUGGGAAGUGGAGGCAGGAGCCUUCCUUACACUUCGCCAUGAGUUUCCUGAUCGACUCCAGCAUCAUGAUUACCUCCCAGAUACUAUUUUUUGGAUUUGGGUGGCUUUUCUUCAUGCGCCAAUUGUUUAAAGACUAUGAGGACGGGAGGCCAAGGGGCUGGGAUGGCAGGUGCCAUGAACAGCGAGCUCCCAGAGUUGGCCAAAAGCACAGCGGAGGUGCAAAUCCAGCUGCUGGAGGAGCAAUGACAGCAUUCAAGCGAUCGUGGAAAUUAGCUCCCAAUGGAAAAUAGGAGGCCAGAGGGACAGAUAGGUCCCCACCCCUCCUCCUCUUCACAGACAUCCCCAAGGUACCAUCUCCCUUUGCGAAUCUUCCAGAGAAGGCCCGUGUGCUGAGCAAACACACCUGUUGGCUUCUUCACGGCUCUUUCUCAUGCCUGCUAGUUUCUUUGCGGCUCUUUGUGGAAGACGGAAGAGCAAGGUCACGCACCCCAGCACCAGCUCUGUACUUUCUCUUGCCUGGCCUCCAUCUACCCCUCACUCACCACCUUGGGCUUGCACCUUCCAAAUCCAGGAUCCGCAUUCGAACCCUUGCUUCAGGCUCUGCUUUCCAGGUGAUGCAAAGACUCAUGUAAAUGGUUUGAUGGAUGUUGCAGAGACAAAUGCAAGUGCUCAGCCAGGUCUCCAGCUCAAGAAACAUCUCAGGAAGGAGUGAAAAGAGGUCACUGUGAGAGCAAAUCCAGCUGGUGGUUAUGAGAAUGUGGAAUGUGGGGGUGAUGGAGCUCCGCUUCUACUGACUCUUCAGAAGGUUCCCAGGAAUCCACGGAGUCCCAGAGUCUUUAGGAAAAGAAGGAUCUUGUGAGGUCAUGUUGUCCAGUUCUCAUCUGACAGAAAGAAUCCAUUCCACCAUCCUAGAAACCCAAAUACUCAUCAUGAUCAAAAGCACUCCUGAAACCCAGGCGUCUCCACCCUACGGCAUCUUUCUUUCUGUUGUGCUUGAAGUUCUCCCCACUGUCCUCCUGACUCAGUCCCUCCUCAUACGUUAAAGCCAUGGUCACCGGCCUGUCCUUGGUUUCCAUUACCUGGCACACUAUGGCAAAGCCACUGCUCGUGGCCACCAGACAGGUCGAGGCAGGCACUGGGGCCAAUCCCAUUCCUUGCUAUGCCUGAUGCCCUUCCGUGCCUGAUGCCCCUCUGUCAUCUCUUUGUUUGCACAGCUGUGACCUGCAUUGUCUCCACUAACGACAGCGUCCUUAACCCGGACAGUGACCCAGCAAGUGGCAGCCCACGCUCGCCGGCCGGGUCCAAGUUUUAAGUAAAGAAGCCAUUUGUUCCCAGGCUCAUUUUUAUCAAGGCUCGUCUGUCUUUCCAAAUUAGGGCUGAGUCAUUUAUAAAGCAUGUGAGUGUUUGGAUGUUAGCAGCAAACAUUCAUCCAUUUUAGAAUAAAUGAUUAAAAGGCACUCAUUAAAUUCCUCUGUUGACUGAUGCCAAGGCCCCGAGAACGGAUUGGCCUGUUGGCUUCUGGCUGGCCUGACUGCCAUCCCACCUACUGAGAACUCUCGUAGACUCUGGAGAGAAAAUUCCUGCUCGAGGGGACACCCUGAUGGAAGAUAACAGGAAGGAUGGCACUCAGGCCUGUUCCCCCAAUAUUACAGCACAGUUAUCUACCUUCAGAGUGGCCGCACCCAACAGACUCUUGGUGAGUGGGAGGACAACCCCUUCUCCCCUCCAAAGAUCUAGGGACAAUGUGUGCCAUUCCUUCCCAUGGGCAUGGGGAAUGUUUAACUCAAAAGUCAAGGGAAUAAUUCCAUAAUGACUGAAAACUAAGUAUUUCCAGUCCUGAUAAGAAUGGCGCUCUGUGCCCACUCCAGGAAUACAAGAAUUGGCAAGACUCUCCUGUGGCCCCUGCCCUGGAAGGUAGAAGGUAAAAGAUCAUACACAGACAGGUAAACCAACUCCCGAACAGAACUGGGAGCCUCGGACCACAGGCUCUGACCCUUUGCUGGCCAGCAGGUGCAGAGGGAAGGAGCUUCUGCUGUCCUUGCCCCCAGCAAAUGUCCAUCCUCACCACAAGGGAACAAACCAUGCCCAAUGCCUCGUUGGGGGCACUGGCGCCCCUUGAAUGUAUCCUCUCUAGGAUCCUUGGCCCCACCCACCUGUUUGCCAUCUCCAAAGGUCCUUUCUUAAUGUCUUUAAUUUGGAUGGCUCUGACAGCUCCCCACGGCUGGCCUGAGAAAAUCGCACACUCCUCUGCAUGCCAUUUAUCAGGUCACAGCGUGAGUUUCCCGGGCCCUCCUUCCACUAAAAAAACAUUAAAACAUAUAUAUUACAAUGGCAUUGGUAAACAGGAACCUAUUGAUUUAUAUACUGAAAACAUUUUUCCUCAACCUAAAAGUUCAUGUAUUUCGUUUUGAUUUUAAAAGCAAUUAAAACAUUUCGUGAGUCCUGAAAUCACUGUGGGCCCGAGGCACUGAGCCACCAUACCCGAUACUGAAGGGGGUCUAGGUCAGUCCUCUCUGCAGCCGUCCAGCCGCAGGUUCCCCCUGGGAGCUGCCCUUCCAGGCCUCCCUGCCUGUGCUGCUGCUGCUGCUGCUGCUGCUGCUCCUGCUCCUGCUCCUGCUCCUGCUCCUGCACCCUCAAUGCUGCCUCAUCCUUCUCUGCCACGAAACGUCCUACAAAGGUGUUAAGCCCUGGACCUAGUGUGAUGCUCCCAGGCCCUGGAGGCAGCAUCUGUGCAUCUUCUUUGCCCUCUGCCACCACUCUGACCCCCUGCAAGCCCAGACAGACAACGGUGUCUUCCUGACCAGGUGACAGGAUCCUGCAUUCAUCCCACAAACGCCUCCUGGGCACUGCCUGUGGGGAUGCAGGAAGGAUCUAAUAAAUGGCCUG